This 206-nucleotide unclassified non-coding RNA is filed under the name Hevea brasiliensis (rubber tree). Lineage: Eukaryota; Viridiplantae; Streptophyta; Magnoliopsida; Malpighiales; Euphorbiaceae. The record is from RNAcentral.
GUUUUAUAAUAAUUUUGUAUUUGAAUAUUCAUAUUGAAAUUAUGUAUUGCAUGAAUUUCAAUAUAAAUAUUUAAAAUAAAAUAAAACUGUUAAAACUCAUUUUUAUAUGAGAUGGACAUUAUAUUAAUUAUAACUAAUAUUUAAUUAAUGCAUUUGGUUUAUCUUAAUAAUUACUGAUAAAUUUUGGAAACAAAUGCAGCUCAUCA